RNAcentral lists this ribosomal RNA (492 nucleotides) under uncultured bacterium. RNAcentral describes it as "partial 16S ribosomal RNA". It matches the Rfam family "Bacterial small subunit ribosomal RNA", at positions 29 to 507 of the family's 1533-position model. The record is from RNAcentral.
AGUGAACGCUGGCGGUAGGCCUAACACAUGCAAGUCGAACGGCAGCACAGUAAGAGCUUGCUCUUACGGGUGGCGAGUGGCGUACGGGUGAGGAAUACAUCGGAAUCUACUUUUUCGUGGGUGAUAACGUAGGGAAACUUACGCUAAUACCGCAUACGACCUACUGGUGAAAUCAUGGGACCUUCGGACCUUGCGCGAUUGAAUGAGCCCAUGUCGGAUUAGCUAGUUUGCGGGGUAAAGGCCCACCAAGGCGACGAUCCGUAGCUGGUCUGAGAGGAUGCUCAGCCACACUGGAACUGAGACACGGUCCAGACUCCUACGGGAGGCAGAAGUGGGGAAUAUUGGCCAAUGGGCGCAAGCCUGAUCCAGCCAUACCGCGUGGGUGAAGAAGGCUUUCGGGUUGUAAAGCCCUUUUGUGGGGAAAGAAAAGCAGCAGCUUAAUACCCCGCCGUUCUGACGGUAGCCAAAGAAUAAGCACCGGCUAACUUCGUG